RNAcentral lists this ribosomal RNA (563 nucleotides) under uncultured archaeon. RNAcentral's name for it is "bacterial SSU rRNA". It matches the Rfam family "Archaeal small subunit ribosomal RNA", at positions 313 to 879 of the family's 1478-position model. The record is from RNAcentral.
GCGAUUCGCCCUUCGGGGUGCCCAGGCGCGAAACCUCUGCAAUAGGCGAAAGCUUGACAGGGUUACUCUGAGUGAUUUCCGUUAAGGAAAUCUUUUGGCACCUCUAAAAAUGGUGCAAAAUAAGGGGUGGGCAAGUAUGGUGUCAGCCGCCCCGGUAAUACCAGCACCCCCAGUGGUCAGGACUUUUAUUGGGCCUAAAGCAUCCUUAGCCCGUUCUACUAAUCUUCCUUUAAAUCCAACUGCUUAACAUGUGGGCUGCUCAAAAUACUAUGCAUCUCUCAAGACGGAGAGACAAACGAUACUCUUUGGGUAUGGGUAAAAUCCCUUGAUCCCUUGAAAACAACCACUGGCGAAAGCGGCUUGCCACAAAGCGCUCCACAGUGAGGGAUAAAAGCUGGGGGAGCAAACCGGAUUAUAUACCCGGGUAGUCCCAUCUGUAAACGAUACACACUCUGUGAUGAGUUGGCUAUAUGCCAUCUCACUGCCGCAGGGAAGCCCUUAAGUUUGCCGCCUGGGGAGUACGGUCGCAAGACUGAAACUUAAAGGAAUUGUCGGGGGAGCAC